CAGACUCACUCUGACCUCCCCUGGGUGCUCCCUGGACAGCGUCCCCUGGGAGGCCGGAGAAGCGGGAGGUCCGUCUGUGGGCGGGGACUUGGAGGGGACCUCCGGGGACUGGCCCUCAGGUCCGGGCAGGGCCUGGGCACCUGGAGGACGGGACCCAGAGCGGGGCAGAGCUCCUGCCUGAGCCCAGGCUGCUGAACACCCCCUCAACCGGGAUUCCCUGGGCCAGGCACACGACUGUGCCGAUGGGGCGAGGCCUGUCUCCCGUGGGGCGAACUGCUGCCCACCAGCUCUGGUGCCCACCCUCCAGGCCUCCUGCACUUGCUCUCCGCUCUCUGCUGUGGGGUCCUCGCCCUUCCCCAGCCUCCUUGCUUUAACGACGUGGACCUGCCCAGUGACCCCCACUCUGGGACAGUGGGCUCGGGCCCCAGGGGAACUGGAGGAUGAACAGGCCGGCCCGGGCCGGGCGAGCUGCUGAGCUGCAUCCUGCGACUCCAGGCUGGCGUCUCACCGGGAUGCUGUGAGGACCGUGGCCGGUGUUGCUGGCUGAGCUCUGGCUGGAUGCAGGCGGUGGCAGCUGGUCUCAAUCUCCCGGCCUCUCAGAUGGAUGCCUGCGAUGCCCCUGGCCAGGCAGGGGUGUGAAGCGGCUCUGAGCCAGUCUGCCCUGUUCCCAUGCAGGUGUCCAGAGCCCCUUCGAGGGGCCCUUGCGAACCCCAGAGAGGCUUCCUCUGUGGGCAGGGACACCCAGGAAGCCGGCUGCAGGCGGAGGAGACACCAGGGGGGCCUGGCUGGGGCCGGUCCGCUCCUAGGCCCAGUCUCAGAGGCGGACAGACCUGGCCUGGUCCCGCCCGUCACCCGUGGACGGUGCGGUCCUCUCAGGGCCCGGCCCCUCAUCUUGGGAACAAGGGUCACCGAGCCGCCCCUUGUCCCGCUGGCGCGAGGCUGACAAGGCUUGGAAAGGGCCUGCCGCAUGGGGGGCACCGGGCAGAGGCUCUGCAGCGUCAGCGGGCCUCCACCCAGGGCUCUCUGGGUGGGAAUGGCAAGAGCCCAGGCCCCAGGACAAGGCAGGGCUGACGCCAUCUAUUUAUUUAAGAGCGCUCUGCAGCCUCGGCUGGGGCCAAGCACUGUUCCGAUGGCUUUACACCACUUCAGUUCUCUCUGCAUCUGCAGGAGCCUUCGAAUGUCUGAAAAUGAUGUAUUUUGCCUUCGUCUUAAAAAGCUGCUCCUCUAACUACUGGAUCCUAGAUUGACAGCUUUCUGUCAACACUCUGAGGAUACCGUUUCAUGGUUUUUGUGUCUGCAUGGUCCCCAGUGAGAAAUGUCAUCUUGUUUUUCUUCUUCUGAUUAUAACAUUUCUUUUUUUCUCUAGCAGUUUUUUGAGAACUUUCUCUUCAGCACUGGCUUUGAAUUACGAUAUACGCCUGGAUCUCAUUUUCUUGUGCUUGGAGUUCACUUGGCUUUUGGGAUCUGUGGGUUUAUAGUUUUCAUCCAGUGUGGGAAGUUUUGGGCCAUUAUUUCUUCAAACACUUUUUCUGUCUCUCUCAUCACCUCUCCUUCGGAGACUCCAAC
This is a long non-coding RNA of Bos taurus (domestic cattle), 1566 nucleotides long. The record is from Ensembl. Lineage: Eukaryota; Metazoa; Chordata; Mammalia; Artiodactyla; Bovidae.